AGUUAAUAUAACUGCAAAGAACGAAAAUUCUUACGCUUUAGCUGCUUAAUAACCAGCUAGCGUGAUCCUUCCGACUUCGCUCAAGGGUCGGGUCUGGGUCUCAAAUUAUUGAGCUACGGUUAAUGUUGCCACCUGAGGCAUUAACAAGAGACUAGUAGGUUAGCCGCCUUGUGUUAGCCUUGCUGGCUGGCGCGACAUCGCGGCGAAUUUUAAAUAAGUCAGCUAUAGGUGUAGAGCUGCAUGUAGCAGGGGUGAUGGACAGGAGUUCGAUUCUCCUCACCUCCAUUA
This 288-nucleotide transfer-messenger RNA is filed under the name Lacticaseibacillus paracasei subsp. paracasei Lpp126. Its description in RNAcentral is "Lactobacillus paracasei subsp. paracasei Lpp126 transfer-messenger RNA Lacto_casei_BL23". It matches the Rfam family "transfer-messenger RNA", at positions 81 to 374 of the family's 374-position model. From Rfam's summary of the family: Bacterial tmRNA, also known as 10Sa RNA or SsrA, is named for its dual tRNA and mRNA-like properties. Lineage: Bacteria; Bacillati; Bacillota; Bacilli; Lactobacillales; Lactobacillaceae. The record is from RNAcentral.